GCCUGGUUGGCUCAGUCGGUUGAGCUUCCGACUUCUACUCGGGCAUGAUCUCAUGGUCUGUGAGUUCGAGCCCCACGUCGGGCU
Molecule: transfer RNA, 84 nt
Filed under: Felis catus (domestic cat)
Lineage: Eukaryota; Metazoa; Chordata; Mammalia; Carnivora; Felidae
Rfam family: tRNA
About the family: Transfer RNA (tRNA) molecules are approximately 80 nucleotides in length. Their secondary structure includes four short double-helical elements and three loops (D, anti-codon, and T loops).
Source: Rfam by way of RNAcentral